UUAUCGGAGAGUUUGAUCCUGGCUCAGGACGAACGCUGGCGGCGUGCCUAAUACAUGCAAGUCGAGCGGACAGAUGGGAGCUUGCUCCCUGAUGUUAGCGGCGGACGGGUGAGUAACACGUGGGUAACCUGCCUGUAAGACUGGGAUAACUCCGGGAAACCGGGGCUAAUACCGGAUGGUUGUCUGAACCGCAUGGUUCAGACAUAAAAGGUGGCUUCGGCUACCACUUACAGAUGGACCCGCGGCGCAUUAGCUAGUUGGUGAGGUAACGGCUCACCAAGGCAACGAUGCGUAGCCGACCUGAGAGGGUGAUCGGCCACACUGGGACUGAGACACGGCCCAGACUCCUACGGGAGGCAGCAGUAGGGAAUCUUCCGCAAUGGACGAAAGUCUGACGGAGCAACGCCGCGUGAGUGAUGAAGGUUUUCGGAUCGUAAAGCUCUGUUGUUAGGGAAGAACAAGUGCCGUUCAAAUAGGGCGGCACCUUGACGGUACCUAACCAGAAAGCCACGGCUAACUACGUGCCAGCAGCCGCGGUAAUACGUAGGUGGCAAGCGUUGUCCGGAAUUAUUGGGCGUAAAGGGCUCGCAGGCGGUUUCUUAAGUCUGAUGUGAAAGCCCCCGGCUCAACCGGGGAGGGUCAUUGGAAACUGGGGAACUUGAGUGCAGAAGAGGAGAGUGGAAUUCCACGUGUAGCGGUGAAAUGCGUAGAGAUGUGGAGGAACACCAGUGGCGAAGGCGACUCUCUGGUCUGUAACUGACGCUGAGGAGCGAAAGCGUGGGGAGCGAACAGGAUUAGAUACCCUGGUAGUCCACGCCGUAAACGAUGAGUGCUAAGUGUUAGGGGGUUUCCGCCCCUUAGUGCUGCAGCUAACGCAUUAAGCACUCCGCCUGGGGAGUACGGUCGCAAGACUGAAACUCAAAGGAAUUGACGGGGGCCCGCACAAGCGGUGGAGCAUGUGGUUUAAUUCGAAGCAACGCGAAGAACCUUACCAGGUCUUGACAUCCUCUGACAAUCCUAGAGAUAGGACGUCCCCUUCGGGGGCAGAGUGACAGGUGGUGCAUGGUUGUCGUCAGCUCGUGUCGUGAGAUGUUGGGUUAAGUCCCGCAACGAGCGCAACCCUUGAUCUUAGUUGCCAGCAUUCAGUUGGGCACUCUAAGGUGACUGCCGGUGACAAACCGGAGGAAGGUGGGGAUGACGUCAAAUCAUCAUGCCCCUUAUGACCUGGGCUACACACGUGCUACAAUGGACAGAACAAAGGGCAGCGAAACCGCGAGGUUAAGCCAAUCCCACAAAUCUGUUC
This 1303-nucleotide ribosomal RNA is filed under the name Bacteroides uniformis. RNAcentral describes it as "bacterial SSU rRNA". It matches the Rfam family "Bacterial small subunit ribosomal RNA", at positions 1 to 1287 of the family's 1533-position model. The record is from RNAcentral. Lineage: Bacteria; Pseudomonadati; Bacteroidota; Bacteroidia; Bacteroidales; Bacteroidaceae.